Vitis vinifera (wine grape) is the source of this 122-nucleotide non-coding RNA. The record is from RefSeq and is marked provisional. Lineage: Eukaryota; Viridiplantae; Streptophyta; Magnoliopsida; Vitales; Vitaceae.
UCUGUUUGGCUGCUGAGAAAAUGUAGGAAAAGCGAUGAAGCUUGAGGACAUAAAAAUAGGUUGGGUUUGAGACGGCUGUUGCCCUCUUUCCUUUUCCUUUCAUUUCUCAGUAACCAAAGGGA